Triticum aestivum (bread wheat) is the source of this 135-nucleotide non-coding RNA. Lineage: Eukaryota; Viridiplantae; Streptophyta; Magnoliopsida; Poales; Poaceae. The record is from Rfam.
CAGACGCUCCCUCCAUCCCAAAAUUCUUGUCUUAAAUUUGUCUAGAUACGGAUGUAUCAAGUCACGUUUUAGUAUUAGAUACAUCCGUAUUUAGACAAAUCUAAGAUAAACAUUUUGGGACGGAGGGAGUACAUG